UCGAGAUUUUUCCGGCCUUUUGCAAUCAAAUUCUACCACCUUCUUCUUAUUUCCCAUCUCUCUAUCUUCCUUGGCAAGAGAGAGGUGCCAAUGGCCAUACCCUAGGCCAGUCAUCACUUGCACUUGCAGUACAAGCAGUGAGUAUUAAUUAAAUAAUCGUGUGCUACAAGUCGUUUCCUACUAAAUCUCUUGCUGGGUUAAUUAAUCUGAUACUACGAUCCACGAUAUCUCCUCUAGUGUCUCAAGAACCAAUCAGGGAACUCAGCUCAUGAACUAUCAGCACACAGGACAAUAGGAAGCUGGAAGCUCGUGCUAAGCGUCUACAUCACCCAAGCGAUCUCUUAGCGGACCAAGGCACUUCAGAUCGAAACACCCAAUCAUCAACAGAAGCGGUCUCCGAACUCAAAAUCCCAAGAUGGCUGUUUCCCAUCACUAUGUGGCCACUUGUCAACAUCACAUGCGCAUGCGUGGGAGCCAACUCUCUUAAAAUAAUCCGAGGGUUGUCAUUUUCUGUUUCCAAGAGAAUUUUCCUUCAUUGGUCCGCUGAAAAGUUUGUGUGUGCGUGUGCGUGUAGCAGUAUUGUGUGUCCAUUCAGGUUCUUUAUCUCUUCCCUGCAUUCAGAAGAAGAAAAUUGCGUUUCAAAAAUAUUCAAGACAGCAUUAUCA
This is a long non-coding RNA of Populus euphratica (Euphrates poplar), 665 nucleotides long. RefSeq lists it as uncharacterized. The record is from RefSeq and is a predicted model, not a curated record. NCBI's taxonomy places the organism in Eukaryota, Viridiplantae, Streptophyta, Magnoliopsida, Malpighiales, Salicaceae. The transcript is spliced from 2 exons.